This 163-nucleotide ribosomal RNA is filed under the name uncultured bacterium. RNAcentral's name for it is "partial 16S rRNA". It matches the Rfam family "Bacterial small subunit ribosomal RNA", at positions 355 to 511 of the family's 1533-position model. The record is from RNAcentral.
UAGGGAAUCUUCCACAAUGGGCGAAAGCCUGAUGGAGCAACGCCGCGUGUGUGAUGAAGGGUUUCGGCUCAUAAACACUGUUGUAAGAGAAGAAUGACAUUGAGAGUAACUGUUCAAUGUGUGACGGUAUCUUACCAGAAAGGAACGGCUAAAUACGUGCCAC